UAUUAAAAUUUUUAUCUAUUUCCACGGUUAAAAAUUGGCAUAACUGACGAAAUAACCAAACAGUUGCAUGUGACAUGCCACUUGUACCUCAUGUUGACAUAUAGGGAUCAAUUUUUAAUAAUAAAAAUUGAUAAAAAAAUUUAAUA
Molecule: microRNA precursor, 146 nt
Filed under: Gossypium arboreum
Lineage: Eukaryota; Viridiplantae; Streptophyta; Magnoliopsida; Malvales; Malvaceae
Description: MIR7502 microRNA precursor family
Rfam family: MIR7502 microRNA precursor family
Source: Rfam by way of RNAcentral